GCAUCAGGAAGAAAGCUUGCUUUCUUUGCUGGCGACCGGCGCACGGGUGAGUAACACGUAUCCAACCUGCCCUUUACUCGGGGAUAGCCUUUCGAAAGAAAGAUUAAUACCCGAUGGGAUAAUCAUUCCGCAUGGUUUGAUUAUUAAAGGAUUCCGGUAAAGGAUGGGGAUGCGUUCCAUUAGGUUGUUGGUGAGGUAACGGCCCACCAAGCCUUCGAUGGAUAGGGGUUCUGAGAGGAAGGUCCCCCACAUUGGAACUGAGACACGGUCCAAACUCCUACGGGAGGCAGCAGUGAGGAAUAUUGGUCAAUGGGCGCGAGCCUGAACCAGCCAAGUAGCGUGAAGGAUGACUGCCCUAUGGGUUGUAAACUUCUUUUAUAUUAGAAUAAAGUGCAGUAUGUAUACUGUUUUGUAUGUAUAAUAUGAAUAAGGAUCGGCUAACUCCGUGCCAGCAGCCACGGUAAUACGGAGGAUCCGAGCGUUAUCCGGAUUUAUUGGGUUUAAAGGGAGCGUAGGUGGACUGGUAAGUCAGUUGUGAAAGUUUGCGGCUCAACCGUAAAAUUGCAGUUGAUACUGUCAGUCUUGAGUACAGUAGAGGUGGGCGGAAUUCGUGGUGUAGCGGUGAAAUGCUUAGAUAUCACGAAGACUCCGAUUGCGAAGGCAGCUCACUGGACUG
Molecule: ribosomal RNA, 676 nt
Filed under: uncultured Bacteroidales bacterium
Lineage: Bacteria; Pseudomonadati; Bacteroidota; Bacteroidia; Bacteroidales
Description: bacterial SSU rRNA
Rfam family: Bacterial small subunit ribosomal RNA
Source: RNAcentral